This 2913-nucleotide ribosomal RNA is filed under the name Aeromonas hydrophila. RNAcentral describes it as "23S ribosomal RNA". It matches the Rfam family "Bacterial large subunit ribosomal RNA". The record is from RNAcentral. Lineage: Bacteria; Pseudomonadati; Pseudomonadota; Gammaproteobacteria; Aeromonadales; Aeromonadaceae.
GUUGUAUGGUUAAGUGACUAAGCGUACAUGGUGGAUGCCUUGGCAGUCAGAGGCGAUGAAGGACGUACUAACCUGCGAUAAGCCGUGAGCAGUCGGUAAGAGACAUUACGACUCACGGAUUUCCGAAUGGGGAAACCCACUUAGCAUAAGCUAGGUAUCGCUACGUGAAUACAUAGCGUAGCGAGGCGAACCGGGAGAACUGAAACAUCUAAGUACCCCGAGGAAAAGAAAUCAACCGAGAUUCCCUCAGUAGCGGCGAGCGAACGGGGAUUAGCCCUUAAGCAUCUUGGAAGUUAGUGGAACGGUCCUGGAAAGGCCGGCGAUACAGGGUGAUAGCCCCGUACACGAAAACAACCUUGAUGUGAAAUCGAGUAGGGCGGGACACGUGACAUCCUGUCUGAAUAUGGGGGACCAUCCUCCAAGGCUAAAUACUCCUGACUGACCGAUAGUGAACCAGUACCGUGAGGGAAAGGCGAAAAGAACCCCUGUGAGGGGAGUGAAAUAGAACCUGAAACCGUGUACGUACAAGCAGUGGGAGCCCUUCGGGGUGACUGCGUACCUUUUGUAUAAUGGGUCAGCGACUUACAUUUUGUAGCGAGGUUAACCGUAUAGGGGAGCCGUAGGGAAACCGAGUCUUAACUGGGCGUCUAGUUGCAAGGUGUAGACCCGAAACCGGGUGAUCUAGCCAUGGGCAGGUUGAAGGUUGAGUAACAUCAACUGGAGGACCGAACCCACUAACGUUGCAAAGUUAGGGGAUGACCUGUGGCUGGGGGUGAAAGGCCAAUCAAACUCGGAGAUAGCUGGUUCUCCCCGAAAGCUAUUUAGGUAGCGCCUCGGACGAAUACUACUGGGGUAGAGCACUGUUUGGGCUAGGGGGUCAUCCCGACUUACCAACCCCAUGCAAACUCCGAAUACCAGUAAGUAAUAUCCGGGAGACACACGGCGGGUGCUAACGUCCGUCGUGAAGAGGGAAACAACCCAGACCGCCGGCUAAGGUCCCAAAGUUCUGGUUAAGUGGGAAACGAUGUGGGAAGGCUCAGACAGCUAGGAUGUUGGCUUAGAAGCAGCCAUCAUUUAAAGAAAGCGUAAUAGCUCACUAGUCGAGUCGGCCUGCGCGGAAGAUGUAACGGGGCUCAAACCAGGCACCGAAGCCGCGGAUUCACGCUAAGCGUGAGUGGUAGGGGAGCGUUCUGUAAGUCUGCGAAGGUGUAUCGAGAGGUAUGCUGGAGAUAUCAGAAGUGCGAAUGCUGACGUAAGUAACGAUAAAGGGGGUGAAAAGCCUCCUCGCCGGAAGACCAAGGGUUCCUGUCCAACGUUAAUCGGGGCAGGGUGAGUCGACCCCUAAGGCGAGGCCGAAAGGCGUAGUCGAUGGGAAGCAGGUUAAUAUUCCUGCACGACUUGUAAUUGCGAUGGGGGGACGGAGAAGGCUAGGUGGGCCAGGCGACGGUUGUCCUGGUGAAAGUGCGUAGGUGGUGUUUCUAGGCAAAUCCGGAGACACAACACUGAGACACGAGACGAACACACUACGGUGUGGAAGCCAUUGAUGCCCUGCUUCCAGGAAAAGCCUCUAAGCUUCAGAUUACAAGUCAUCGUACCCCAAACCGACACAGGUGGUCGGGUAGAGAAUACCAAGGCGCUUGAGAGAACUCGGGUGAAGGAACUAGGCAAAAUAGAACCGUAACUUCGGGAGAAGGUUCGCUCUUGACAGUGAAGUCCCUUGCGGAUGGAGCAGUUGGGAGUCGCAGUGACCAGAUGGCUGGGACUGUUUAUCAAAAACACAGCACUCUGCAAACACGAAAGUGGACGUAUAGGGUGUGACACCUGCCCGGUGCCGGAAGGUUAAUUGAUGGGGUUAGCGCAAGCGAAGCUCUUGAUCGAAGCCCCGGUAAACGGCGGCCGUAACUAUAACGGUCCUAAGGUAGCGAAAUUCCUUGUCGGGUAAGUUCCGACCUGCACGAAUGGUGUAACCAUGGCCAUGCUGUCUCCACCCGAGACUCAGUGAAAUCGAAUUCGCCGUGAAGAUGCGGUGUACCCGCGGCUAGACGGAAAGACCCCGUGAACCUUUACUACAGCUUGGCACUGAACAUUGAACCUACAUGUGUAGGAUAGGUGGGAGGCUUUGAAGGCGUGACGCCAGUUGCGCUGGAGCCGUCCUUGAAAUACCACCCUUGUAUGUUUGAUGUUCUAACGCAGGCCCGUGAAUCCGGGUCGCGGACAGUGCCUGGUGGGUAGUUUGACUGGGGCGGUCUCCUCCCAAAGAGUAACGGAGGAGCACGAAGGUUGGCUAAUCCUGGUCGGACAUCAGGAGGUUAGUGCAAUGGCAUAAGCCAGCUUAACUGCGAGACGGACAGGUCGAGCAGGUACGAAAGUAGGUCAUAGUGAUCCGGUGGUUCUGAAUGGAAGGGCCAUCGCUCAACGGAUAAAAGGUACUCCGGGGAUAACAGGCUGAUACCGCCCAAGAGUUCAUAUCGACGGCGGUGUUUGGCACCUCGAUGUCGGCUCAUCACAUCCUGGGGCUGAAGUCGGUCCCAAGGGUAUGGCUGUUCGCCAUUUAAAGUGGUACGCGAGCUGGGUUCAGAACGUCGUGAGACAGUUCGGUCCCUAUCUGCCGUGGGCGUUGGAUGAUUGAAGGGAGUUGCUCCUAGUACGAGAGGACCGGAGUGAACGAACCUCUGGUGUUCGGGUUGUCACGCCAGUGGCACUGCCCGGUAGCUAAGUUCGGAAUCGAUAACCGCUGAAAGCAUCUAAGCGGGAAGCGAGCCCUGAGAUGAGUCAUCCCUGACCCCUUGAGGGUCCUAAAGGGCCGUUGGAGACCACAACGUUGAUAGGUGGGGUGUGUAAGCGCGGCGACGUGUUGAGCUAACCCAUACUAAUUACCCGUGAGGCUUAACCAUACAACACCCAAGAAGUGUU